Molecule: long non-coding RNA, 217 nt
Filed under: Helianthus annuus (common sunflower)
Lineage: Eukaryota; Viridiplantae; Streptophyta; Magnoliopsida; Asterales; Asteraceae
Description: sRNA HanXRQr2_Chr15g0713061
Source: RNAcentral
GUGCUUGCUGAUUUGAUAUACGGCUGGGAUUGAAUUUAUAUUUAGCUCAGGUAAAUACUCUUAGCUUAUUUUCCCUAUACGGGCUUGGGAUACGGUAUUAUGAUAAUACCGCUUGGUACUGUACGUAAUUGGCUGGGAGCUCAGGGCGUCAAUAGGGAAUCUUGCAAGUUCUAGAUGCCUAAAGUCUGUUGAACAGUGUUUAUCUUUCUGUUUUAAG